This 491-nucleotide ribosomal RNA is filed under the name uncultured bacterium. Its description in RNAcentral is "partial 16S ribosomal RNA". It matches the Rfam family "Bacterial small subunit ribosomal RNA", at positions 29 to 506 of the family's 1533-position model. The record is from RNAcentral.
AGUGAACGCUGGCGGUAGGCCUAACACAUGCAAGUCGAACGGCAGCACAGUAAGAGCUUGCUCUUACGGGUGGCGAGUGGCGGACGGGUGAGGAAUACAUCGGAAUCUACUUUUUCGUGGGGGAUAACGUAGGGAAACUUACGCUAAUACCGCAUACGACCUACGGGUGAAAGCAGGGGAUCUUCGGAUCUUGCGCGAUUGAAUGAGCCGAUGUCGGAUUAGCUAGUUGGCGGGGUAAAGGCCCACCAAGGCGACGAUCCGUAGCUGGUCUGGGAGGAUGAUCAGCCACACUGGAACUGAGACACGGUCCAGACUCCUACGGGAGGCAGCAGUGGGGAAUAUUGGACAAUGGGCGCAAGCCUGAUCCAGCCAUACCGCGUGGGUGAAGAAGGCCUUCGGGUUGUAAAGCCCUUUUGUUGGGAAAGAAAAGCAGCAGGUUAAUACCCCGCUGUUCUGACGGUACCCAAAGAAUAAGCACCGGCUAACUUCGU